Non-coding RNA from Macaca mulatta (Rhesus monkey), 533 nucleotides. The record is from RefSeq and is a predicted model, not a curated record. Lineage: Eukaryota; Metazoa; Chordata; Mammalia; Primates; Cercopithecidae.
AGCAGAAGGUAAGGGGGACAGAGGACCAUUGAGUAGGCAGUUGUUAGCCUAUGAAGGCAGGGCUAUCUCUUAUCCACUCCUCCCUCCCUUAUGGAGGGGUGAAUAAGAAGACUCCUCUACUGAGCCCAAGCCAGGAGAAGUCCAAGAGAAUCCCUCAUCAAGAUUGAGAGAUGUCUGUGAGAAAGCAGACUAAUGUCAGGUUUGGGGUUGACGGUUCAUUUAUGCAAUCAUUGUGCUGAUCUGAUGUCAGUGACUAUUUUGAACAAGGAAAACAGAAGUGGAGAGAGCUGGCAGAGUGACGGAAGGCACAGUGAAGUCCCCUACUUUUCUACUAUUUAGCACUGUGAAGCCAGAGGAGGAUCCCGUCGGUGAAGUGAGUACCACAGACGCGUCUUGCUGGCACCACAUCCAAGAAGAUUGGUCUUUAGGUGAGGUGCCAUAUUGGAAGAAGAUACCAGACACUACCAGACACCAAACCUUCUGGCACAUCGAUCUUGGACUUCCCAGCCUCCAGAACUAUGAGGAAGACCAUU